UGGGGAAUAUUGGACAAUGGGCGAAAGCCUGAUCCAGCCAUGCCGCGUGUGUGAAGAAGGUCUUCGGAUUGUAAAGCACUUUAAGUUGGGAGGAAGGGCAGUAAGCGAAUACCUUGCUGUUUUGACGUUACCGACAGAAUAAGCACCGGCUAACUCUGUGCCAGCAGCCGCGGUAAUACAGAGGGUGCAAGCGUUAAUCGGAAUUACUGGGCGUAAAGCGCGCGUAGGUGGUUCGUUAAGUUGAAUGUGAAAGCCCCGGGCUCAACCUGGGAACUGCAUCCAAAACAGGCGAGCUAGAGUAGGGAAGAGGGUGGUGGAAUUUCCUGUGUAGCGGUGAAAUGCGUAGAUAUAGGAAGGAACACCAGUGGCGAAGGCGACCACCUGGGCUCAUACUGACACUGAGGUGCGAAAGCGUGGGGAGCAAACAGG
This 429-nucleotide ribosomal RNA is filed under the name Pseudomonadota bacterium. Its description in RNAcentral is "Proteobacteria bacterium partial 16S ribosomal RNA". It matches the Rfam family "Bacterial small subunit ribosomal RNA", at positions 355 to 776 of the family's 1533-position model. The record is from RNAcentral. Lineage: Bacteria; Pseudomonadati; Pseudomonadota.